UCGAAUACUAAGGAGUCUAUUUCGAUCAUCUACCAUUGACCAAGCAUCGAUUAAUGGUAAGCGGUCGAGCAGAGCAUAUAUAUAGAUAAUGAAGUGUACUUUCAUUUGAUGUCUUGUCUAUUCACUUAUAUUUAAUUUGCUUACUAAUGUGUGGAUGGCAAGCAAUUGAGUUGGGUACGAAAAUUUGCAACAAGAUUCAAACCAUGCCGUUCACCGAGUGGAAUAGAGGGUCAAUCGAAGAAGAGUGGCAUGAGGGAUGGAUCACAUGGCAACGAAGAGACCUACAAACCAAAAAGGUUCCACACCAAACACCACUACCAAUUCACUUGCCCUGGCC
RNAcentral lists this long non-coding RNA (337 nucleotides) under Elaeis guineensis (African oil palm). RNAcentral's name for it is "long non-coding RNA (EGUI_LNC017521)". The record is from RNAcentral. Lineage: Eukaryota; Viridiplantae; Streptophyta; Magnoliopsida; Arecales; Arecaceae.